ACUCAAAUGAAUUGACGGGGACCCGCACAAGUAGCGGAGCAUGUGGUUUAAUUCGAAGCAACGCGAAGAACCUUACCUAAGCUUGACAUCCUUUUGACCUCUCCCUAAUAGGAGAUUUCCCUUCGGGGACAGAAGUGACAGGUGGUGCAUGGUUGUCGUCAGCUCGUGUCGUGAGAUGUUGGGUUAAGUCCCGCAACGAGCGCAACCCUUGCCUUUAGUUGCCAGCAUUAAGUUGGGCACUCUAGAGGGACUGCCAGGGAUAACCUGGAGGAAGGUGGGGAUGACGUCAAAUCAUCAUGCCCCUUAUGCUUAGGGCUACACACGUGCUACAAUGGGUGGUACAGAGGGCAGCCAAGUCGUGAGGCGGAGCUAAUCCCUUAAAGCCAUUCUCAGUUCGGAUUGCAGGCUGAAACUCGCCUGCAUGAAGCUGGAGUUACUAGUAAUCGCAGAUCAGAAUGCUGCGGUGAAUGCGUUCCCGGGUCUUGUACACACCGCCCGU
Molecule: ribosomal RNA, 499 nt
Filed under: uncultured bacterium
Lineage: Bacteria
Description: partial 16S ribosomal RNA
Rfam family: Bacterial small subunit ribosomal RNA
Source: RNAcentral